Molecule: unclassified non-coding RNA, 396 nt
Filed under: plant metagenome
Description: partial contains 5.8S ribosomal RNA, internal transcribed spacer 2, and large subunit ribosomal RNA
Source: RNAcentral
GUCAGCCCGUUUAUCCGGAAAGCAGUGGCGUUCUCGGUACCGCUCGAUUUGCAAUCGAGCUGUGAGAAAAUCUCGCAACCGUCGAACCGGAUUUACUCGAACCGUUUCGUCCGAAGCCUCAAGAAAAAAAUUGCGACGAAAGCGCGCAUGAGAACCGAUCUCGAUACGUCAAAGCUUCGGCAAAUAAAAAUGCUCACCGAGUUCGAUGACUGUUAUACAGCGCCGAUGCAUGGGUUUCGCAACGCUCGUGAAUACUAUGCGCAGUGCAGCGCAAUCCGCUUCAUCGAAAGCAUCAAGACCCCCACCCUUAUCAUCAACACCCGCAACGAUCCGUUCCUGAGCGAGCAGUGCUUUCCUGCCGCUUUACUCAAAGGACAUGCGUUUGUUCGUCUGGAG